AGACUUUUAGAAUAAAUGUUCUUUUUUGUAUUUUCAAAAUACAUACUUAAUGCAUAGUUAAAAAGUC
Molecule: transfer RNA, 67 nt
Filed under: Ixodes hexagonus (hedgehog tick)
Lineage: Eukaryota; Metazoa; Arthropoda; Arachnida; Ixodida; Ixodidae
Description: tRNA-Ser
Source: RNAcentral